This 460-nucleotide ribosomal RNA is filed under the name uncultured bacterium. RNAcentral describes it as "partial 16S ribosomal RNA". It matches the Rfam family "Bacterial small subunit ribosomal RNA", at positions 338 to 795 of the family's 1533-position model. The record is from RNAcentral.
CCUACGGGGGGCAGCAGUGAGGAAUAUUGGGCAAUGGGCGCGAGCCUGAACGAGCAAAGAAGCGUGAAGGAUGACGGCCCUACGGGUGGUAAACUUCGUUUAUAAAGGAAUAAAGUGAGGCACGUGUGCCUUUUUGUAUGUACUUUAUGAAUAAGGAUCGGCUAACUCCGUGCCAGCAGCCGCGGUAAUACGGAGGAUCCGAGCGUUAUCCGGAUUUAUUGGGUUUAAAGGGAGCGUAGAUGGGUUGUUAAGUCAGUUGUGAAAGUUUGCGGCUCAACCGUAAAAUUGCAAUUGAUACUGGCAGUCUUGAGUGCAGUUGAGGUAGGCGGAAUUCGUGGUGUAGCGGUGAAAUGCUUAGAUAUCACGAAGAACUCCGAUUGCGAAGGCAGCUUACUAAACUGCAACUGACAUUGAUGCUCGAAAGUGUGGGUAUCAAACAGGAUUAGAUACCCUAGUAGUC